RNAcentral lists this ribosomal RNA (525 nucleotides) under uncultured bacterium. Its description in RNAcentral is "bacterial SSU rRNA". It matches the Rfam family "Bacterial small subunit ribosomal RNA", at positions 8 to 526 of the family's 1533-position model. The record is from RNAcentral.
AGGGUUUGAUCAUGGCUCAGGAUGAACGCUAGCGGCAGGCCUUACACAUGCAAGUCGAGGGGUAACAGGAGAAAGCUUGCUUUCUCGCUGACGACCGGCGCACGGGUGCGUAACACGUAUGCAACCUACCUCUUACUGGGGGAUAGCCCAGAGAAAUUUGGAUUAACACCCCAUAGUAUCACCAGUUCGCAUGUUCAGGUGAUUAAAGGUUACGGUAAGAGAUGGGCAUGCGCCCCAUUAGCUAGUUGGUGAGGUAACGGCUCACCAAGGCUACGAUGGGUAGGGGGUCUGAGAGGACUAUCCCCCACACUGGUACUGAGACACGGGCCAGACUCCUACGGGAGGCAGCAGUGAGGAAUAUUGCGCAAUGGACGAAAGUCUGACGCAGCCAUGCCGCGUGCAGGAUGACGGCGCUAUGCGUUGUAAACUGCUUUUAUAUGCCAAGAAACCUUCGGACGUGUCCGAAGCUGACGGUAGCAUAUGAAUAAGCACCGGCUAACUCCGUGCCAGCCGCCGCGGUAAUAC